CUGAGUUAGGCAAAACGAUUUGGCCAUAAUAUUAUUGACUAGAGAAUAAAGAAGAAAGGCACAUGAACCAACCCGUUUACUGUUCCUCCAAUCACCCUCUCCCUCUAGAACCUUCUUCACCCAACGACGCCGUUUUCAGCUACUGGAAGUGGCGGGACCAGACCAACGCAGACGUCGACGACGGUGGUGGUACUGCUACUACUGUCACUUCUUGGAGGGCCUGCAGUGACUGCGGUAACAGGGCCAAGAAGGAGUGCAAGUUUAGGAGGUGCAGGACUUGUUGCCGGGCACGUGCCUUCCCAUGUUCUACUCACGUGAGGAGCACGUGGGUUCCCGUCGCUUCCCGGAGGAAACGUCCGGCGGUGGAAAUCUCCGGCGUCGGAGAUGGUUCUUCUGGGUCUUCUUUUUCUGCUUCGAAAAAGCCCAGGUUCAAUGAUUCUCAGACUACUGCUGCUUCUUACUCGAGUACCUCGAUUUCCAAUAAUGCCCUCAAUACUUUCACUCACCAAGAUGCAAUUUUGAAGCAGUCUUUGCCGAGUAAAGUCCAUGCUCCUGCGAUUUUCCGGCGUCAUAGAGUGACAGCCAUUAGCGAUGGCGAUGGCGAGGUUGAGGUUGCAUACCAGGUUGCUGUGAGAAUUUGUGGCCAUGUCUUCAAGGGCUUUUUGUAUGAUCAAGGAGUUGAUGAGAAGAAUGGAGACUACUCUUCUUCUUCACCUAUUGUGGUUCUGUCCACACCCAAUCCGAGCUCCCCAAGCUGAUAUAUGAAGCACUUGCCAAACCAGAACAGGUAAUUUAAGAGAGCUUAAUGUUGUUUGUUUUAAAAUGUUGAAAAUAUCUUAACUUGUGUAGUGUUUUUGAGCUAGCCCUUUAAGAAAUGUGAGACACUCAUGACUUGCAGCUUGGAAUGGGAUUUUACUAGGUCAAUGGGUAGUUGACAUGUUUGACUCAAGCUGGUCUCUCUUCAUUAAUUAAUUUCUAGUGAAAAAAAGGGACUAAAAAAAUAAAAUCCUCACAUAUUUUUAUCAUAGGUUAUGGUUAUAUAAUUAGACAGCAUGUUGGAAAGAUUAUCAAUUACCUAAUUCAUCCACGAUAUGUGAUCAUUUGGUCUUAACAAAUCUAUCUUAUAUAAAUGACGAGCCAAGAGUUUAUAUUUUUA
RNA transcript from Humulus lupulus (European hop), 1156 nucleotides. It is a transcript of the gene named protein SHI RELATED SEQUENCE 6-like, with no coding region annotated. The transcript has 3 exons. The record is from RefSeq and is a predicted model, not a curated record. Lineage: Eukaryota; Viridiplantae; Streptophyta; Magnoliopsida; Rosales; Cannabaceae.